AACGAACGCCGGCGGCACGCCUAACACAUGCAAGUCGCACGAGAAGUCCCCGGCAAGGGGACCGGUAAAGUGGCAGACGGGUGAGUAACGCGUGGGUAACCUACCCUCGAGUGGGGGAUAACCCCGGCGAAAGCGGGGCUAAUACCGGCAUAACAUCCCGGGACGCGAGUUUCGGGAUCGAAGGUGGCUCGCAAGAGCUACCGCUC
RNAcentral lists this ribosomal RNA (206 nucleotides) under uncultured bacterium. Its description in RNAcentral is "partial 16S ribosomal RNA". It matches the Rfam family "Bacterial small subunit ribosomal RNA", at positions 29 to 220 of the family's 1533-position model. The record is from RNAcentral.